AAUUUUGGACAAUGGGCGCAAGCCUGAACCAGCCAUGCCGCGUGUGUGAAGCAGGCCUUCGGGUUGUUAAGCUCUUUCGUAUGGCAAGAAAUCGCCCAGGCUAAUACCCUGCUCGGAUGUAGGUCACGUCUUCAAAAGCACCAGCUAACUACGUGCCAGCGGCCGCGGUAAUACGUAGGCUGCGAGCGUUAAUCGGAAUUACUGGGCGUAAAGCGUGCGCAGGCGGUUGAUUAAGACAGGCGUGAAAUCCCCGGGCUUAACCUGGGAACUGCGAUUGUGACUGGUCAGCUAGAAAACGGCAGAGGGAGGUGGAAUUCCACGUGUAGCAGUGAAAUGCGUAGAGAUGUGAAAGAACACAGAUGGCGAAGGCAGCACCCUGGGCCGAUACUGACGCUCAUGCACGAAAGCGUGGGUAGCAAACAGG
This 424-nucleotide ribosomal RNA is filed under the name uncultured bacterium. Its description in RNAcentral is "partial 16S ribosomal RNA". It matches the Rfam family "Bacterial small subunit ribosomal RNA", at positions 360 to 776 of the family's 1533-position model. The record is from RNAcentral.